This 467-nucleotide ribosomal RNA is filed under the name uncultured bacterium. RNAcentral describes it as "partial 16S ribosomal RNA". It matches the Rfam family "Bacterial small subunit ribosomal RNA", at positions 28 to 508 of the family's 1533-position model. The record is from RNAcentral.
GAUGAACGCUGGCGGCGUGCUUAACACAUGCAAGUCGAACGAUGAAGCCCAGCUUGCUGGGUGGAUUAGUGGCGAACGGGUGAGUAACACGUGAGUAACCUGCCCUUGACUCUGGGAUAAGCCUGGGAAACUGGGUCUAAUACUGGAUAUGACUUCUCAUCGCAUGGUGGGGGGUGGAAAGAUUUAUUGGUCUUGGAUGGACUCGCGGCCUAUCAGCUUGUUGGUGAGGUAAUGGCUCACCAAGGCGACGACGGGUAGCCGGCCUGAGAGGGUGACCGGCCACACUGGGACUGAGACACGGCCCAGACUCCUACGGGAGGCAGCAGUGGGGAAUAUUGCACAAUGGGCGCAAGCCUGAUGCAGCGACGCCGCGUGAGGGAUGACGGCCUUCGGGUUGCAAACCUCUUUCAGUAGGGAAGAAGCGAGAGUGACGGUACCUGCAGAAGAAGCGCCGGCUAACUACGUGC